Anthonomus grandis grandis is the source of this 434-nucleotide long non-coding RNA. RefSeq lists it as uncharacterized. Lineage: Eukaryota; Metazoa; Arthropoda; Insecta; Coleoptera; Curculionidae. The transcript is spliced from 2 exons. The record is from RefSeq and is a predicted model, not a curated record.
UUGGCUGCUUCGACAUACGUUACCUUUGAAAUUAUACAGAAAUACAUUUAAGAAGGACAGAGACCACAAACAAAGGUAUGUCGCGAAUGCGUUCCUACAUUCGUAACCAGCCAAUGAGAUGCGAGCGUGGAGCGUCCCCUGCUUCGUACUGUUUUAGUUUAGUAGCCGACUAGCCGUGUCUACAUUAUAUUAUCAUAUUAUUAAAAAUUACAAUUUGUUUGAAGUGCGUAAGUGAUAACUUUGUGAUUUAUUUGUAUGUGGAGUAAUUUAAUUUGUGAUUUUUAUGUGAAACAUUAUUGUGACGGUAAUUAUUUUGGAAUCCAUUCAGGGAAGUAGAUUCGGUAGACGCAGAUGAAGCUUAAAAAGACACGAUUAAAUCCACAUUUAAAAUGUAAACUUUUUGUACUGACUAUUAAAUAUACCUAUAAAUUAUA